ACGCACGCUGGCGGCGUGCUUAACACAUGCACGUCGAACGGUGAACUCCGCUUGCGGGGGGAUCAGUGGCGAACGGGUGAGUAACACGUGGGCAACCUGCCCUCAGCUCUGGGAUAACUCCAAGAAAUUGGGGCUAAUACCGGAUAUGACCGCUGACCGCAUGGUCUGGUGGUGGAAAGAUUUAUCGGCUGGGGAUGGGCCCGCGGCCUAUCAGCUUGUUGGUGGGGUAGUGGCCUACCAAGGCGACGACGGGUAGCCGGCCUGAGAGGGUGACCGGCCACACUGGGACUGAGACACGGCCCAGACUCCUACGGGAGGCAGCAGUGGGGAAUAUUGCGCAAUGGGCGAAAGCCUGACGCAGCGACGCCGCGUGGGGGAUGACGGCCUUCGGGUUGUAAACCUCUUUCAGCAGGGACGAAGCGAAAGUGACGGUACCUGCAGAAGAAGCACCGGCCAACUACGUG
Molecule: ribosomal RNA, 464 nt
Filed under: uncultured bacterium
Lineage: Bacteria
Description: partial 16S ribosomal RNA
Rfam family: Bacterial small subunit ribosomal RNA
Source: RNAcentral